AGCAGGAAUCCAGAAGCUCCGUGUCUCCUCCUACUGAUUCUCCACCCACUCGGCCCCCACGCGGCUCAUGGGCUCAUGACUCCCCAGAUGUCUCUGUGUCAUUCGGGGUUGAGCCCAAGCUCUGCCCCCUGUGGUGAUUGUCUUGGAUAAAGUCGUCUUCGCCAUUUGAAUGAGUGUCGUGGGAUCAUGCUUUCCUCGACGGUGGGAUCUUGACCUGGCAAAGCGUGAGGGCGGUACAAGGGUCGGCAGCGAGGGGGCUCCUGGGCCAUCUCCCACUACAGGGAGUUCUUCUCCUCUUUCUCCUUCCCUCGGAGCUGGACGGCCGUCAGCAUCCUCUCCGUAUCCUGCCCCUCGGCCGUGUCCCCACCUCAAUUCCUGCGUGGCCACCCUGUCAUGAUGUCUGCUCCUUGGAAGCUCCAGACUCACACAGGAAGUUUGUCCCAGGUGGACGGGAAGACUCCAUUUCCCAGACUCUCCUGCAGUUGAUGGGAGCCGGGCGCUGAGUCCUGUCCCAUGGAACGUGGUGGACACAACAUAGGUCAUAAAGUCCCCUGCACUAUCCUCCACCUGUCUCUUCCCGUUCCGUGGUGACAUUGGAAGCCAUGUUGAAGAUGACAGUGCCCCAAGAAGGAAGGGGCCUUGACCCCUGAAAGACUGGAGCCCGACUUGGAUGGCAAUGUGCGUGCAGAAAUAAGCAUUCGUUGUGCCGAUCGACUGACAUUGGGAUCAUUUGUUAGAGCAGCUAACCUUCUCUAGACAGACUCGUGGACGUGCAGAGUUUUCUGGUGUAUUAUCUCGGACUCUGAGCAGAGCCCUGGGAGUCUGGCAGGGCCAGUACUGUUCUCUCUGGUUCUCUGGUUGUUUUGUUUUGUUUUGUAGAUUCCAGGUUGAGAGCUCUUAACCUCCGCCCCAUCUUGCCUCUCCAAACACCUCGGAGGCACUCGUCCCAUUUGACAGCUGGGGGAAAAUGAGGCUCAGAGGGGAGAGGUGAUUUGUGUGUGGCCAAGAGCUAUUGGAGCAGAGCUUUCUCUUUGCCAGAUGCUCCUCUUCUAAAACUACAUGCUUGUAGGUGCCCAAUUCACCUGCUUACCCAGAAAAGGGAGAAGAACAUACGUCUGUCUCUGUGUGUCUGGGCUUUGAAUACCAAAAGCCAAUGUGUUGAAUAGUUGCCUGGGAAAAAAGAGUCCCCGCUCUCAAGGCAGCUCAAGAUCCACUCUUUGAUUUCAGACCAUUUGGGGCUGUAGUGAUAUUUGGCAAUUCCAGCUCCGUGUUGGCCCCAUGAUCCCAGACAGAAUCAGAUCACUCCCAAGCCCCUCAUAGGAUGACUGCCUUUUCUCUCCUCAAUCUUGGCUGCAUAGAAGAACCACCCAGAAAUCUGUAAAAAACACUAAUGUUAGCCCACCCCAAACCACUCUAAAUCAGAUAUCUGAGGGUAGGGUAGGGACUAAUACUGUUUUUUUGUUUUUAUGUUUUUUUUUUAGGAGCCCUCCCAGAAUAGUCUAGUGGAUAGUUAAGUCCUCCUACCUGGACCUCAUGGACUGCCCUGUCUAAUGAGAAUUACUGUCUUGGGUGAUAUGCUUCGAGUUCUGGACAAUUGACCUAUUAGUCAUGGAAAGAGUCAAGGGCUCAGAUGCUCAGAGUCCACAGAGGACAAUCAUCCCUGUGUGUAGGAUGAAGGUCACAGGGUCAGAAUGGCUUCUCCCUGGCUGUCACCAUGGUGGGAAGAGAUACAAAGAGUAUAAUUGGAGAAAGCUGAUUUUUAUUGUGGCUGUUUCUUAGCAUAUUUUGCAAUAGGGGUGGCAUUUGUUCAGAAAUGUGACCCUGGGACCCAGUAGACACCAGUGUUGUAGCUCUCCUGGGGUCCAGCCUUGACAUGAAUAAAAUCUUCUAAGACGA
Canis lupus familiaris (dog) is the source of this 1896-nucleotide long non-coding RNA. RefSeq lists it as uncharacterized. The record is from RefSeq and is a predicted model, not a curated record. The transcript has 3 exons. Lineage: Eukaryota; Metazoa; Chordata; Mammalia; Carnivora; Canidae.